GUUUUAAUAAUUUAAAUAAAAUAUUGGUCUUGUAAACCAAAAAUGAAUAUAAUUCUUAAAACU
RNAcentral lists this transfer RNA (63 nucleotides) under Micadina phluctainoides. Its description in RNAcentral is "tRNA-Thr". The record is from RNAcentral. Lineage: Eukaryota; Metazoa; Arthropoda; Insecta; Phasmatodea; Lonchodidae. RNAcentral also lists the same sequence under 3 other names.